This is a long non-coding RNA of Esox lucius (northern pike), 3056 nucleotides long. Lineage: Eukaryota; Metazoa; Chordata; Actinopteri; Esociformes; Esocidae. The record is from Ensembl.
GUAGGGAAAAGAGCAAUUUGCCAAACAUGAAAAACCAAAACUACAUUUUGCAGCCCAAAUUAACUGCCAGUGGGCAAUACAUAGUUUUUCCCCAAGUAUUGGAGGUAUUUUGAUGUAUUAGACAAUAAGUUAAAAUAGCAAGUCCCUAGUGUUAUAUAAGCAUGUGUGAAUGAAUGGUGUCUGAGACAAGAAGAAUGAUGUCAGCUGAACAAGCAAUGUUAAAAGAACAAUCAACUGAUGAUGUCUGAAAUGAACAGAGAGAAGAACUUUACCACUGAUCUGGUUGAAGUGAGGGGUCACUUGGUCCUUUGGGGCUUGGUUGUGCUUUUUGAUGUUGUGUUCUUGAAAGUGAAGAAUUUAGAGACUCUUUCCUGGCUUCAUGGGACUGAUUUUUAUUUUCCCACUUUUCAAAAAUGGUAUGAAUUGUACUGUAUGCAAUUGGGUCUUGUAAAUGUGAUAUUGUAGGUUAAAUUGCGUACUUUAUGUUGUUGUGCUACUGAUGUUCAGCUUGAUUGCAAAAAGGUAAAAAAGAAACAAAUGUUUUCACUAUAAUCUCAAGGGGCGUGUCCUUAGUGUAUAAAGCUAGCCAGCACUGUUACCAUUAUUUGUGUGAAUGUAAGUGGCACUUUAUCCCUCGCUAAGGGGACAAAGCAUGGAAACAAAAAUGUGAACAUUUCCACAAAACAAAGAAAUCAUUUUCAAAUGUUAUCUAAAAAGGCACACAAGCAAUUUCUCUGAAAUGGACACAUAAAUGACACACGUAUUGUCUUACUUUCUAAUAAAAGUCAUUGCCUCUGUCAUUUGCAGUUUUGGUGUAGUGAAAAUGUAAGUAUAUUCCCUAAAAUAUAUAUUAGAAAAAUAAUUUAUAUUCCCAAAGGUAUGCACAAUUGAUACAUUUGUGAUAUUGACAUUUAAUUCAAUUUUCGUUUUAAAUGUAGGCGUACCCCUCUGUUGUUCUUUUUUUUUCUUCUAAACAUUAACAACCAUUAACAUUAAGUAUUUAUUUUAUUGUAAUAAUUUCAGACCUGAUCACAAUGUUGUGAUUUGCCAAUUGGAUAAGACAACAAGUGGUUAAACAACUGUCUCUGAUUAUUUUUAUUAAAACGUGAAUAUAUGAAGAGCUUUUUUUUCUUUUAAAACCCCCAACUAUCUAAUGUCAACUUCAUCCUUAACCCAUAUUUUUUAUUGAUGGACAAUAUUAAUAUUAGCCCACUGUUUUCAAAUACAAUAUCAAUAAUUGUACUGUUGAGCUUGUUUUUUUUCUCCAAAUUUCAUUGAUUGUAUGAUGUCAUUUCAAAUGCGAUGGAGUCCGUAGUCAUCUACAGUGUGUUUAUUACUAUGUAUUUAACCAGGAAAAAUGCAAUGGCUUUGGAGCUGUCCAAAGUGUUGUGUAUCAUGCAAGCACCUCUGAUCACUCUACUGUAUACUAAUCAUACAGUAGUGAUUACAACACGUACUGUCAUGUAUUUUUAUCGAUAAAAUUAACAGUGUAAAUACUAAAAGUGUAAAAACAUGCUUUUUGUUAAUUCUCUGGUUAUUUUCUUUUAAAUAAGCACACUGUUAAGAAUUGUACUUAAUUCAUCAUACUACAUUAUUUACAAUAUUCAAGAAAGAUGCAGGAUAUAUGAAUCAAGUUCAACAAGUUUUGUUGUUUUGUGCUCCAGCUCAUUGGAUUUUAAAUGAAACAUUGACCAAUAGGUUAAAGUGCAGACUGUCAGUUUUUAUUUGAGCAUAUUUACAUCCAUGUAUUCCUUUCUUUUUUAAGAAUUCCACCCCCUUUUAGCGGACCAAAUGUUGAACAAAUUAACAAAUGUGAAGUUGUCAUAUUUUGCACGUAGUUGCCAAAUCCUUCACAUUCGAUGAUUACCUGAGGUCUGCGACGCAGACAUCAGCAGACGCCAGGUAUCCCUGGUGAUGCUCUGCUCAGCCUGUCCUGCAGUCAUCUUUACUUCCUGCAGCAUGCUCAAUUGAAUUCAGGUCAGGUGAUUGACUUGGCCUGUGAAGAACGUUCUGCUUUUUGCACUGAAAAACUCCUUUUUGUUUCUUUAGCAGUAUGUUUGGGCUGUUGUCCUGCUAAAAGGUCAAGUGCCGUCCAAUACAUUUUUGAUGCAUUUGUUUUGUCUAGAAUGUUCAUCCAAUAUUUCAAGAAAAUUAAAGCUGAAGGUCUGUACUUUUACACCAUUGUCAUUGUAUCAUUUCAAACCCAAAGUGAUGGAAUACAGAGGCAAAACAAGAACUUGUGUCACUGUUCUAAUACUUAUGGACUGCACUGUGGCUUCUUUCAUCUCCAACACCCUUAAAGCCUCAAAGCACAAUGUCCUGUCUGUCACAUCUUAUUAGUUCCAUUUGCUAGUCGUGAGAACAGUGGUGUUAUUAACUGUGACAUCAGGGGUCAGUGGUACAGGUUCAAUACCAUUUUCUGCCACUGUAGCAAUAGUACUCACCCCACUGAAAUGCCAUCUCACGAUCUCAUCGGUUAGUUGCAAAACCUGCAUUAUAAUACAGUGAAACAAAUGACACAUCCUCAAAUACAAAUUACAUAUAAAUUUUCAUGUUGGUCAUUUAACAAAUACUGUCAUUUUAAAACUUUACAAUAAAACAGGUUGCGACCUUAAAGUCUUAGAUAUAUGUAACAGUGAAGUGCCAGUAAUAAUGUAAGGUCAGAUUGUGGUUUUGAGAGUGCCUAUAGUAAAGCAGUUAAAGUAGAUGGACAGUAGAAUACAUUUGGAUAAUUGUGUUCAAGUAGAUUCAUGUUGAUAUGGAAAAUCAGACCGAUGUUUUGUACAGUAUACUGACCAUGUAUACAGUACACUCCAUCACUCAAUGCAGUGAUUUCAAACAUUGGUUUUGGGAAUGUUUUCACCUGAUGAAAUGACUCACUUAUAUUGUCCCCACUGCAACCAAACAUCUCUUAGUGAAUCAAUUCCAAUAUAACUUAGUUUCUGUUGGUGCAAGAUUUGAAUAAAUGAAUGAAUGUAAAACAAACAGAUUGUACCAGUUUGACUUUCCAUUUUUGGUUUUGUUGUAACAUGAAUAAUGCACUUGUAUAUAAGCCA